This 229-nucleotide ribosomal RNA is filed under the name uncultured bacterium. RNAcentral describes it as "partial 16S ribosomal RNA". It matches the Rfam family "Bacterial small subunit ribosomal RNA", at positions 568 to 796 of the family's 1533-position model. The record is from RNAcentral.
UCCGUAGGCGGGUUUAUAAGUCAGUGGUGAAAGUUUGCAGCUUAACUGUAAAAUUGCCAUUGAUACUGUAGAUCUUGAAUUAGUGUGAAGUGGUUAGAAUGUGUAGUGUAGCGGUGAAAUGCAUAGAUAUUACACAGAAUACCAAUUGCGAAGGCAGAUCACUAACACUAUAUUGACGCUGAGGGACGAAAGCGUGGGGAGCGAACAGGAUUAGAUACCCUGGUAGUCC